AACAAGACAACUCUUGCUCUCUUCCCUCUUUCUCUGUCUCUCUCUCUCUCGUACCCACCAUCGAUCUUUCACAAUUGCUUACCAUCGAUCAUCGAACGUCGCACAUCACCAUUGUCACCGCCGCUUGCUCGUUGUUCACCUAGCAGCUACUCGCCGUUUGCCUCGCAGCUGCUCGUAUCGCAUCUCUUCAACAUUGAGUUGAUGUCGCAGAGAUCACUCUGCAGUAAUGCGGAGAAGUUUGAAUUUCAGGCUGAGGUGUCUUGGCUUAUGGACACCAUUAUCAAUUGGCUUUACAGCAAGAAAGAUACCUUCUUUAGGGAGUUAAUCUCCAAUGCUUCUGAUCAUCAUAACAUAAGGCCUUAUAUGAAUUUGAGGCUCAAGAAUUCAUUGACACCACCGGUAUAGAUGCUUUUGUAGUGUGUAUUGGAAAUGUCCAUGGAAAAUACCCUGCAAGUGGCCCAAAUCUCAGACUUGAUUUACUAAAGGUGAAGUAUAGUUAUCGAUUUACUGAAGGUGUAGUAUAGUUAUCAAUUACGUGAUUUUGAGUUAUUGCAUUAGAGUGUUAAUUUAUUACUAAUUAAUUUAUAUGCACAAAAAGUUCACCUCUAUUAUUAAUAGACAACAUUUGGCAGAACUACUUAUCCUUCCAUGUUGGAUUUUUAGUAUUUUCAUUGACGUCAUGUUUACAUUGUGCUUUAUUAAGAAAGUUAUUUCAUAUUUUAUUUUAUUUUAUUAUUAUUAUUUUUUAAGUGACUGCUGAUGGGAAAUAAGUACUUUUGCUUUUUGGCUCCUUCUUUUCCUGAUAACCAAACAACCCUUAAAUAUAGUAAUAGGUAGCUUCCUUGUGUGAAAAAUGACUUGUGAGAACUGCCUUUAAAUAUAAGACACAUAGUUUGGGAGUUAAAAUAAAAAAUACCUUAAACUUAGUCAAAAAAAGGAGGUUUGGGGGGCGAAAAUUCAAAAUAGGCCCCCAACCACUAUUGGGAUGUAACAUGCAGCUUCCUCAUGCCAAAAAUAACUUGUGAGAACUGAUGGUACAUAAAUGGGACACGUAGAUUGGGAGUUACAAUCGAAAAUGCCUUAAACUUAGUAAAAAAAAUCGGGUUCGGGGGGUGAAAAUACAAAAUAGCCCCCCAACCACUGUUGGGAUGUAACAAACAACUUCCUCAUGCCAAAAAUGACUGGUGAGAACUAAUGGUACAUAAAUAGUAUAUUGGGAGUUACAAUAGAAAACACCUUAAACUUAGUCGAAAAAGGGCUUUCGAGAGGCGAAAAUGCAAAACAACCCUUGAACCGAUGUAUGGUUAUCUCAGGCAGCAUCCUUAUGACAAAUAGGACCUAUGGCCAUAGACGGCAUAUAAUUCGCAUCUACAGUUUGAUAGUUAGAGCCAAAAACACCUUAAACUUAAUCAAAAAGGGGCUUCCAGGGAGUGAAAAUGCAAAAUAGCCCCCGAACCAAUGUAUGGCUGUCACGAGUAGCAUCCUUGUGACAAAUAGGACCUGUGGCCAUAGGCGGCAUGUAAUUGACACCCGUAGUUUGAGAUUUAGAGCAAAAAAUGCCUUAACCUUAGUCGAAAUGGGCUUUCAGCAGGCGAAAAUGCAAAACAGCCCAUGAUCCAAUGUAUGGUUGUUAUGGCCAGCAUCCUCAUGACAAAUAGGACCUGUGGCCACAGAUGGCAUGUAAUUCGCAUGAGAAGUUUGAGAGUUAGAGCUAAAAAUGCCUUAAACAUAGUAGAAAAUGGGGUUUCGGGGGGUGAAAAUACAAAACAACCUCUGAACCAUUGUAUAGAUGUUACGAGUAGCAUCCUUGUGACAAAUAGGACCUAUGACCACAGAUGACAUGUAAUUCACACACGUAGUUUGAGAAUUAGAGUUGUGGCCACAGACGGCAUGUAAUUCUUCUAUAUACUUUUCAAUCCAACUGCAUGGAUACAGUACCUGUUUUCUUGAUAUGUCCACAUCAUCAGAUACUAAAGCUAUUUUCCAUGAGAAAAAGAAAAGAAAAGUGAUGGAACAAUAAAGUAGCAACUCCAUUAAUAUGUCUUCUACAGUACAUGGAACUGGAUUGAAAGUAAAAAAAUUAGAAACGCAAAAGCUAUACACAGGACAGAUCACAGUCAUCACCAAAAGGCUAUCAGUCAUGCAUUACUAUUAGUUUUAAAAAAACAUGAAUGCAUAGCUACAUUGAAGCAGGCAUUUUUGAAUACUGAUGUGUGCACUUCUUCUUCUUCUUCUUUUUUUUUUUUUUUUUUUUUUUUUUUUUUUUUUUUUUUUUUUUUUUUUUGUAUAUGGCUUUUGGUGUGGACUUGUGGAUACUCUUUUUCUGUGUAUGGAGGACAAUUUCGACUUUUGUAUAAUCCUGAUAAUUUUGUCAUCCUCCACUUUUGUAUGGAUUAUUAUUACUCGUGUUGAUAUUUUUUGGCAUCGACUUGAUAAUUACUGGUGUGGUAAAUAGAAUUCCUUUUGUCGUGGUACAGAUUAUGAUGGUAAUUUAUACCACAACAAAUGGCCAUUUCGCAUGGCAACAUAUACAUUUUUUGUACAUAGAGGGCUUAUUUUUGUAACUUUUGCAGUUAUGUUUUGUAUGGAAUUAUUAUUUUAGUUUGGACUAUAUAGUACAGGUUGGACUAUGGUUUGUAUGGAAUUUUUCAUUUAUAGUUAUACAUUUUUGAAUGGUUGGAAGUGAAAUGGAUGCAGAUCUAUUGUGGAAUGAUUGAUAAUAUAUGUAUUUCUUCGUUCAUAUAUGUAGUACAGGUUGUACGGAAUACAUACAGGUCGUAAACAAAUUAGAAUUUGGAGAGAAAGCGUAACUUUUUGUUUUGCUGACUAAACAAUUUGUAGGCAUAAAGGAAAUAUAUAAUUUAGCAACUAAAUAGUUAGUCGCUAAAAAAAAAUUGAAAAUGUUUUUGGCAACUAAAAGUUUAGUAGCCAAAAAAACAAAUCACACUUUAGGCAACUAAAAUGUUUAGUAGCUACAAAAUUGCAAACAAACUACAAAAAUGUUUUGGCGACUAAAAGUUUAAUAGGUAAAAUCAAUUUAGACUUUAGGCUACUAAAAUUUUAGUAGCCGAAAACAAUCAAACAUUAGGUUACUAAAUUAUUUAGUAGCUAAACAAAAAUAAUCCAAAAAAGAAGUCAUUUUUGGCGGCUAAAGGGUUAGU
Camellia sinensis is the source of this 3161-nucleotide non-coding RNA. The record is from RefSeq and is a predicted model, not a curated record. Lineage: Eukaryota; Viridiplantae; Streptophyta; Magnoliopsida; Ericales; Theaceae.